This 6146-nucleotide long non-coding RNA is filed under the name Sus scrofa (pig). RNAcentral describes it as "lncRNA (ENSSSCG00015034748.1)". The record is from RNAcentral. Lineage: Eukaryota; Metazoa; Chordata; Mammalia; Artiodactyla; Suidae.
CCCCCGCCUCAGCAUAUGGAGUUCCCUGGGCCAGGGGUCAGACCUGAGCCGCAGUUGCAACCAAUGCCACAGCUGCAGCAACUCCCGAUCCUUUAACCCUUAACCCACCGUGCUGGGCCAGGGAUCGAACCUGCGUCCUGGAGCUGCAGAGAAGCUUCCGGUCCCAUUGUACCACCCCAGGAACACCAGGUAUUACAUCUUUUUUUGUCGUUGUUGUCUUUUUAGGGCUGCACCUGCAGCAUAUGAAGGUUCCCAGGCUAGAGGUCCAAUCAGAGCUGUAGCCGCCAGCCUACACCACAGCCACAGCAAUGUGGGAUCCGAGCUGCAUCUGUGACCUGUACCACAGCUCAUGGCAACGCUGGAUCCUUAACCCACUGAGCGAGGCCAGGGAUGGAACCCACAUCCUUAUGGAUGCUAGUCAGGUUCGUUAACCGCUGAGCCACAAUGGGAACUCCCUGUUAGAGAGGACAAGGGACAAGUCUUCUCGGCAAAGCCUGCCUGGGUUCAUAGCCUCACUCAACCCUUGACUAGCUCAUGACCUUGAACAAGUCACUCCACCUUUCUGAGCCUCAGUUUCCUCAUGUGUCAACCAUGGAUAGCAAUAGUAAUGACCUCCCGGAGUCAAAUGAGCUAAUACAUCCCAAGUGUUGAAGGCGGGGGGCGGGGACUCCAAGAAUGUCAUCAGUUUUCCCUGCGGCCACUAUUAUCGCUCCAAGAUGCGCGCAUCUGCACACGCACCUGCACAUGCACACACCCACCUGUGAACUCCGGAGACACGGCUGGGAGCGGGGCCCAUGGCUGGGAAGGGCACAAGCAUGUCCCCUUGGACUAGGGGGCGGGGGGCUGUCCUCACAUAGUUCUCCCCCCAUUUCUGUUAGAGUCCCCCGCCCCCGAUCCUGGGGAGGCUCCGGCCAGUGUGGCUGUGAGUACCAGCGAGGCAGGAGAGACCCCGGAAGGCAGACAGACAGACCGCCUCUCUCGGGCCUCGGGAAACCUGGGAGGGCCCCCCCCCCCCACUGCCUCUGCAGCCUUGAGCCCUGUGUCCUGUAUACAAAGGCAAGGGAAGCAGCGUGUUUGUUUUCCUGGGGCCAAGGCAAUGCAUUUUUAGCUCCUCCAAUUCUCCAGACAAGGAAGAGGAUGUUUGGACGGGCAGCUCUGAUCUACCUGUCCUGGAAGCUGCCUGGAAAUGGAGUAAAGCCCCCCAGGGUGAGGGGAGCAGGGCCAGACAGGCUGGGAGACGAUGCGACCUGGACCCAAGGCUGACGGGCUCCCUCCCCCUCGAGAAGCUUCAUUCUCACUCACCUUUUGCUGCUCACCUGCCGGGCCUGGAGCGCCCUGAUAAACGCAAACGACCUGACUUCUAGAGCAUUCGCCCUGGGUGGGGCUCUGGGGCAAGACCUCUACCUGAACUGACAGCCUUGAGGGGAAAUGCAGCAAUUAUUACCAUUUUAUCAGCAAAGAAACAAGGCUGGCUGGGUCCUUGCCUGCUUCCUGGAGGGCUGGUGCUCUCAUCAACGUGUUCAUACCUGGAGGAGGGGGGCGCUGAGGCCCAGAGAGGGAUACGAACUUGCCCGGCGUCACCCAGCAAGGAAGUCACAGCACCGGCAUUCGAAUCCAGGGCUGUCCCACCGAAAGCCACACCUUUGCCCCCCUCCCCGGGUUGCGAUGCCUCCCUGCGUGGCCCGAAUCAGAGCUGCCCAGCUUUUCGUGUCAUUUCGCACGCAGAAAAGUAGGCAAAUGAAGGGAGCUGGAUGCAGGAGGCUGUGCCCCCAGCACCCAGCCCCCAUCCCAGAACGGGAGGACCCCACUCGAUGUGGCUGAGCCAGACCUUCCCAGAUCAGGGCGUCCCGGCUGCCGUGUUCUGAAGAUUUGACUGGGAAUUCUGGAAGGGGUGGGGACAGGCCUAUAGCAGGCAGUCUUGGCGGGGGAUGACUACGACAGUACACGGGCCUUCAGCAGCUUUCCAGAGGACAAUAGUUGUGACUGCAGGAAACAUAACAGACCUGUCAAAAGAAUGGGAACCCAACCCAGAGUAAAAGUCACAAGUUUCUCAUCAAUAUUCAUAAGAACAAAUGUUUACGUGGCACCUGCUUUGUUGGCAGCUUUCUCCAAGCCCUUUAGGUGUAUUAAUUCGGUUAAGCCUGGAAACAGGCCUUCGGGAGAAGAGCUGGGAUCACCCCAUUUUACAGAUGGGGAAACCAAGGCCCGGAACAGCUCUGCAGGCUCAGGGAUGAGUGAGGGCUGAGCUGGGAUUUGAACCUGGGCAGCUAGAGCCAGCAUCACUCUCUGGAUGUCUACACCUGGGUGCCAGGCCAGGCAAAGGGGAAAACUCACAGGUGCCCAGUUCAGCUGGACCCUGCCCUCGCUCACCCACAGAUUCUGGCGCAGCUUCACCCUUCCUGGGGCGGGCCCUCUGCUGGGCAGGGGUCUGGCUCCCUGGCUGGAGGAGGCCCCUCUGGCUGUCAUGAAUGAUACCCACUUCACCAGGCUGAGGCAGGACAAGGGACCCUAGGGGCUGCUGGAGAGGAAGUGCGCAUGGGAGGUAUGCCCAUCCUGUCCUGGUCCUUCUCUCUCCCUUGCCCCAGCUCACCACCUGAGUCCCCAGCCCGUGCCACCGCCAUGCGGAAGCUCCCCUUUGAGAGAAGUUCUGACAUGGCUUCGAGGUUUAAGAUCCUGUCCUCGAGGGAAAAGCCAAGGGCAUUCAGAAGGGACAUCUGAGGUUCAGAGACAUCAUGUGACAUGCCCAAGGUCACACAGUGAGUCAGGGACAGAAUGGGUGAUAGUUCUGCCAACUCCAGAUACCCCUGGCUCCUCCUCUGCAGUGGGGAAGCACCCUCCUCCCCCAACCCCGGGUGGUGGCUCUGGAAGGGUGUUCCGUGGCAGAGGGCAAGGAGCAUGUGGGUGGGAGGGAAGGGGCUGGGUGAGGCUGGGCAGGGGUUCCGGAGGAGUAGCUGAUGGCUUAUUUUUACCCCAAAUCGCCUUUACUCUUGCUGUCCCCUCCCUUUGUGCACUUCUCCAUCCCAGUCUCACCCACUGGGAUGCUUUUCCUGGGGGCGAGUUCCCAGAAGUGGCACGUUGUCCCUUCCCACCACUGCCUGGAGGCCACCGGAGGCUGUUGCACAUGCUGCGGGUAUCUUAGGUCCUCACCAGGACUGUGAGUUUCUGACAGCAGGAACCGUGAGCCUGAGCGGGAGUGUGGAUUGAUGGACAAGGAUCCUGCUGGGUAAGCCCCGCAGACCUGCCUCCAAGACCCUGCAGGUGCUGGUUAUAGGCUGUGUGACCUUGACCUCUCUGAGCCCCAGUUUCCUCAUCCAAAGACUGGGAUAGCCACAUUGGCUUUGCAGGGUUGCUCUGGGGAUCAUAUAUGAGAAAGGGUGUGAAGGUGCCAGCCCACUGCCUGGCACCACACAUUUGCUUGGCACACCGUGCAGUUAGCACCUUUUCAUCGAGGUCUAGAUCUCCACCAUUGCAUGUGACCCGUCAACGAGCAGCAGUGUCCCCUGGGGGCUUGUUAGAAUUGCACCGUGCCAGGCCUACCCUAGACCCGCUGAGUCAGAAUGUGUAUUUUAAGAAGACCCCUGGUGACCCAUGUGCGCCAUUUGAAUGGCACUGAUCUAAAUCAUGGGUCAAAAAUGGUCCAACAUGUGAUUUCAUCUGCUCAACCGCCGAACCACCUGACGAUCCAAGGAGAGCAAAGUAUGUUAUCCCCAUUCUACAGACAGGAACACUGAGUCCUGGAGCGAUCACCUGACUUCCUAAUUCACGCCAUCAGGAGGUGGCCGAGCCAGAGGUAAACCACUGCUAUGGGCUGCAGAACAGCUUGGAGUGGCUGUCCAGGGCCAGUCCAGUGAGGGGCUUGGAGGAGAGCAGUCCACGAGCUCAGCAUGCCCAUCUGCGGAAUGGGGUCCCAACACAACCCGAUUGUGGGGAGAGGGUGUAGACGUGCCCUGUGCGGUGCCCCAGAGUUGUUGUCACAGAGAACUGGGUGUUGCAUUGCCAGCUCACCUCUCUGGAGUCCCCUGCCCUUGAGGGGCUUACAGGCUGAGGCAGGCAGGUGGAAGACAGAGAGACGGAGACAACUGUACAAACACCCUCGGGCGGAGCUCACGUAAGUCAACAAGCAAACAGAGGGCAGCCCGGCGGGAGUGACUAAUCGUCUUAAUAGUAACCACAGCGGCAGCGGGCAUAAGGCUCCCUGGCCACCGAGCGCAUCCCUGCUGAAGUCAUGGGGUGGCCAUUGAUGGGACCAGGCGGGAGCUCCAGGCCCAAGGAAGCUGGACCACCCUCCUCCCUGCACCUUCCUCCUCCUCUCCCUCCCCCUUCCGCCCUUCUUCAGGGCUUCAUUCUUUCUGGAUGUGGACGAGGAGCCCAGCGUUCACAACAGACCCCCACCGCUUCCCAGCGUGUGACCCUCAGCCACCCCUGGGUCGUAGAUGAGGAUAAUUCUGGAGCCUCCUCCAUUUGGUCUCGGGGAUAAUCUAGUGACUGGAUGUGGAUGCACACAGACAGAGCGCUCGGCUGCAGUUCCGAUUCCCACUUGGACGAGGCGGCGGUGGCCCCACGCUUUGCCCCAGAGGGAAGUGCCGUGGCUUCACCACACCCUUACUGCAGAUGGAGGAGAAAACGGACGCUCAGAGAGGGAAACUGACUUCCCUAAGAUCACCCCGCCACUUAGCGUUGGAGCAAAGCCAGGUGUGAACUUAAGUCACAGGACUCCUCGGGCAAAGCUUGAGGGGAGGCAAGAGCAAAGUUGGAAAGGCAGACCCCUCCCCAGGUCCCAGCCCCCCAGAGUGAGAGCCUUCCCCCUGUGGGACCUGCUGGGGGGCAUGCAGGGAUGGGCUUGUGUGUCCAUGUGUGACAUGGGGGCAAGACGGGCCUUGGGGGACCUGGAUCUGUGGCCACGUGGGCAGGCCAGGGAGUAAGAGAGGAUGAAGACACCCGGGGGCGGGGGUGGGGUGGGGGGGUAGCAGGAUGAGGGAUGGCCCCCAUGGGGGACAGUCAGCACCAGCCCCUGGGCCACUGGGGCCCUAUGUGCAGGUGCCAGGGGUGGGCGUCCCCUGCCAGAAGACCACCACAGAGUGGGGGCUCCAUCCCGGCCUCCACCCAUCAUCUCUCCGCCCAUCCCCCACCUCCCCCAGCUCCUUCCUGUUUUGAUGGAAGGAAAAAAUUUCAGCUUUUUCCUUCUUUAUUUUUCCAGACGGGUGACUCGCUCGCUGGGGAAAGGAAUUCCCCCCUCCCCAAACCAUCAUAAUACCUAUAAAUCGAUGCCAUAGAUCCAGGCCCAUCCUGUUGUGCGGGAUAGUCACCGCUAUUUUUGGGUGCUGUUGUGGGGGUGGUACCCCAGGGGAGGGGAUGGGGAGGGGCGGUCUCGGCUGCCUUCUCCCAGUCCACGUCCCCCCCUCCCCACGUUCNNNNNNCCCCACCCCCCUCCCUGCCCGAGUUCUGGGAGGAGGAAGGAAGCCUGCUUAGCCGGGUAUAAAUAACUCAGGUGACUACUCAGCUCCUGAGAACAUGGUAACAUGAGUCACGAUGUGAAAUCAAGAGGAGCAGAGAACAGCCUUGGGCCGCCCCCCACACACACACCCGCCCAGGGCAGUGCGGCUGCGGGCGGAGGAGAUCUGGGGCCCGGAGACCCCCGGUGGGCAGCGCCCGGGAGGACAGGCCCAGCUGCCGGCCCAUGUGUGGUCUCGGGCGAGCCUCCACCGAGCUUAGACUCUUCGUUCACUCAUCUGGAACCCAGGGCGGAGUGGCCUGGGCUCGGUUCCCAAGGCCCUCCCUGAGCCGGGAAGAGCGUGAGAGCAGGGCCAGGGUCUGGGCACCUCAGCCCUGGCCUCUCCCUUCGCCUGUCACAGUCAGUGGGAAGAGCAGUUCUCUUGGAACUUCGGGUCCCCUCCCCCCAUGUCCAAGGCAGGUGUCCAAGGAGUUCCCUGGGCCUCCAUGGGACUGGCAGGACAGGUGGCCGGGGCUGAGAGAAGAGCACAAGCUUCUGGACACUUGGCCUCCCGAGCCUUCCUCCACCGGGGGGACCUUGAACCAGGUACAACCCCCAACCUCCUUUGCCUGCCUGGCCGCCUUGUAGAUGGUGUAGACAUGAGGCGUGGAUGCAACAGGACGCUCUCAAGGAUCACCGGCUUAGCCAAUGGGAU